This 253-nucleotide ribosomal RNA is filed under the name uncultured bacterium. RNAcentral's name for it is "partial 16S ribosomal RNA". It matches the Rfam family "Bacterial small subunit ribosomal RNA", at positions 524 to 776 of the family's 1533-position model. The record is from RNAcentral.
GACGGAGGGUGCAAGCGUUGCUCGGAUUCACUGGGCGUAAAGGGUGCGUAGGUGGUGGGAAAAGUCGGAUGUGAAAUCUCCAAGCUCAACUUGGAAAUGGCAUUGGAAACUGUCCUGCUAGAGGGUUGGAGGGGGGACUGGAAUGCUUGGUGUAGCAGUGAAAUGCGUAGAUAUCAAGCGGAACACCAGUGGCGAAGGCGAGUCCCUGGACAACACCUGACACUGAGGCACGAAAGCCGGGGGAGCAAACAGG